UACAGAGGUGGCGAGCGUUAUUCGGAAUUAUUGGGCGUAAAGGGCGCGUAGGCGGCUAGGCAAGUCCUGGGUGAAAUCCCUCGGCUCAACCGAGGAACUGCCUUGGAAACUGCCUGGCUCGAGGCCGGGAGAGGGUAGCGGAAUUCCCAGUGUAGCGGUGAAAUGCGUAGAUACUGGGAGGAACACCAGUGGCGAAGGCGACUCACUGGCCCGAUACUGACGCUGAGGUGCGAAAGCGUGGGGAGCGAACCGG
This 253-nucleotide ribosomal RNA is filed under the name uncultured bacterium. Its description in RNAcentral is "partial 16S ribosomal RNA". It matches the Rfam family "Bacterial small subunit ribosomal RNA", at positions 524 to 776 of the family's 1533-position model. The record is from RNAcentral.